Molecule: long non-coding RNA, 246 nt
Filed under: Gossypium raimondii (Peruvian cotton)
Lineage: Eukaryota; Viridiplantae; Streptophyta; Magnoliopsida; Malvales; Malvaceae
Description: long non-coding RNA (GRAI_LNC011255)
Source: RNAcentral
UUCGAGAAGAGCUGGAGUAAGUUGACUUGUAAAAAAAAUUCAAAAAAAAAACCGUAUAUUAAAAAAAAGUUGUAUUUAAAUUACAUGUAAACCAGCAUAUUGUAUUGAAGUUUGUUAUAAAAAAAUUCAAAAAAAAUUUGAAAGUGGUUAAUUCAUUCCAUUUUGGUUAUUCCCGAUCAUCGACUCUUAAUUCCCAACACCAUCCACCUUCACGCCACACUUGAUAACCCAAUAUCGUUCUUUCAG